UACGUAGGGGCCGAGCGUUGUCCGGAGUUACUGGGCGUAAAGCGCGCGCAGGCGGCUCGUCAAGCCUGACGUGAAAGCCCCCCGGCUCAACCGGGGAGGGUCGUCGGGGGACUGGCGGGCUUGAGGUCGGCAGGGGUUGGUGGAAUUCCCGGUGUAGUGGUGAAAUGCGUAGAGAUCGGGAGGAACACCCGUGGUGAAGGCGGCCAACUGGGCCGGACCUGACGCUGAGGCGCGAAGGCGUGGGGAGCGAACGGG
Molecule: ribosomal RNA, 255 nt
Filed under: uncultured bacterium
Lineage: Bacteria
Description: partial 16S ribosomal RNA
Rfam family: Bacterial small subunit ribosomal RNA
Source: RNAcentral